AUUGAACGCUGGCGGCAGGCCUAAUACAUGCAAGUCGAACGGUAACAUAAAAGAAGCUUGCUUCUUUUGAUGACGAGUGGCGGACGGGUGAGUAAUAUUUGGGAAACUACCUGAUAGAGGGGGACAACAGUUGGAAACGACUGCUAAUACCGCAUAAAGCCUGAGGGUGAAAGCAGCAAUGCGCUAUCAGAUGUGCCCAAACGGGAUUAGCUAGUAGGUGAGGUAAAGGCUCACCUAGGCGACGAUCUCUAGCUGGUCUGAGAGGAUGAUCAGCCACAUUGGGACUGAGACACGGCCCAGACUCCUACGGGAGGCAGCAGUAGGGAAUAUUGCACAAUGGAGGAAACUCUGAUGCAGCCAUGCCGCGUGUGUGAAGAAGG
This 380-nucleotide ribosomal RNA is filed under the name uncultured bacterium. RNAcentral describes it as "bacterial SSU rRNA". It matches the Rfam family "Bacterial small subunit ribosomal RNA", at positions 30 to 414 of the family's 1533-position model. The record is from RNAcentral.